UUUAGCGCGGUGGUCCCACCUGACCCCAUGCCGAACUCAGAAGUGAAACGCCGUAGCGCCGAUGGUAGUGUGGGGUCUCCCCAUGCGAGAGUAGGGAAC
Molecule: ribosomal RNA, 99 nt
Filed under: Pantoea agglomerans
Lineage: Bacteria; Pseudomonadati; Pseudomonadota; Gammaproteobacteria; Enterobacterales; Erwiniaceae
Source: RNAcentral